CAGCAGCCGCGGUAAUACAGAGGGUGCGAGCGUUAAUCGGAUUUACUGGGCGUAAAGCGUGCGUAGGCGGCUUUUUAAGUCGGAUGUGAAAUCCCUGAGCUUAACUUAGGAAUUGCAUUCGAUACUGGGAAGCUAGAGUAUGGGAGAGGAUGGUAGAAUUCCAGGUGUAGCGGUGAAAUGCGUAGAGAUCUGGAGGAAUACCGAUGGCGAAGGCAGCCAUCUGGCCUAUACUGACGCUGAGGUACGAAAGCAUGGGGAGCAAACAGGAUUAGAUACCCCAGUAGUCCCUGUCUCUUAUACA
RNAcentral lists this ribosomal RNA (301 nucleotides) under uncultured bacterium. RNAcentral describes it as "partial 16S ribosomal RNA". It matches the Rfam family "Bacterial small subunit ribosomal RNA", at positions 509 to 808 of the family's 1533-position model. The record is from RNAcentral.